This 104-nucleotide small nucleolar RNA is filed under the name Patagioenas fasciata monilis. RNAcentral's name for it is "Small nucleolar RNA SNORD46". It matches the Rfam family "Small nucleolar RNA SNORD46". From Rfam's summary of the family: U40 is a C/D box small nucleolar RNA, also known as snoZ153 in plants. The record is from Rfam by way of RNAcentral. Lineage: Eukaryota; Metazoa; Chordata; Aves; Columbiformes; Columbidae.
AAUUGGAGUGAUGAAACUUUUACCUUAGGUGGAUGCAACAGACUGUUUUGGUCACUUACUGCAUCUGCCAGUGCUGGGGUUUGUCAUAGUUACACUGACCAUGU